UGCAGGAACUUGUGAGUCUCCUAUUGAAAAUGAACAGGAGACUGAUGAGUUCCCGGGAA
Suricata suricatta (meerkat) is the source of this 59-nucleotide microRNA precursor. The record is from Ensembl. NCBI's taxonomy places the organism in Eukaryota, Metazoa, Chordata, Mammalia, Carnivora, Herpestidae.